RNAcentral lists this ribosomal RNA (455 nucleotides) under uncultured bacterium. RNAcentral's name for it is "bacterial SSU rRNA". It matches the Rfam family "Bacterial small subunit ribosomal RNA", at positions 340 to 786 of the family's 1533-position model. The record is from RNAcentral.
UACGGAAGGCAGCAGUGGGGAAUAUUGCACAAUGGGCGCAAGCCUGAUGCAGCCAUGCCGCGUGUAUGAAGAAGGCCUUCGGGUUGUAAAGUACUUUCAGUCGUGAGGAAGGUGUUAAGGUUAAUAACCUUAGCAAUUGACGUUAGCGACAGAAGAAGCACCGGCUAACUCCGUGCCAGCAGCCGCGGUAAUACGGAGGGUGCGAGCGUUAAUCGGAAUUACUGGGCGUAAAGGGCACGCAGGCGGUUAAUUAAGUUGGAUGUGAAAUCCCCGGGCUUAACCUGGGAAUGGCAUUCAAGACUGGUUAGCUAGAGUCUUGUAGAGGGGGUAGAAUUCCGAUGUGUAGCGGUGAAAUGCGUAGAGAUGUGGAGGAAUACCGGUGGCGAAGGCGGCCCCUGGACAAAGACUGGACGCUCAUGUGCGAAAGCGUGGGGAGCAAACAGGGAUUAGAUACC